UAGGAAGCUCGAAGUGGAGUUGUGGAGAUGGGGACCGUGGUCAAGCUACUUCAAUCUGGACCACUGCGAAUCAUAGAGCAUCAGUUUUCUGCUCAUUGCUACUUUGAGAAUGAGAGACCUCUAAUUGGGACAGUGGCAGAAAGUGGAAAGGAAUAGGAUAAAUUCUUAUCUUUUACGCAUCARCAACAAAAACAUCCAAUCAAAUAUGCAAUGAGAAUGAAGAACAGAAGAUCUCAUGGGUCGAAAUUAGGCUGCAGAGGGGCAGACCCACUAUGGUGCAUACAGUGGCACUGGCCAAUGCUUCAUUCCUCCAUCAUAGUGUAAAAAAAAAUGGGUCGUGAAAGGUGCGAUUGUAUUAUUUUGUUGGGUGUAACCAUAUAUUCCUUGAAACUACAAUAAUAACACAAGAAUCUCUUGGUAGAGUUGGUUUGCACAGUCUUUUUUCCUGUUCCAGAUUCCCUUUUUCAUAAAGCUCCUAGAAAAGAAGAUCGCCCAAGAACAUGGAAUUACUGGCUAAAGCUGUAAGGACAUUAUGAGACUUUCACUCAUCCAUCAAAAUGUCAACUUUCUACCAACGAGGCUAGAGCUGCAAGAACACUCUCAUACCCUUACUCAUUCCAUAAGAAUGUCAACUUUUUACCUGCUAGGCUAAAGCUGAAGGGACACUCUUAGACCUCUUACUUAUUCUGUAAGAAUGUCAACCUUCUUAUUUUCCAGGCUAAAGAUGUUGCAGAGACACCCUCUUGUGAACGAGUCAUAUAUGUCUUCCCGAAAGGAGGGUUUGUCUGCAUCAUAUAGAUUGUAUGAAAGAUUAAGGGGACCGAUACGUCAGAGCACAAAAAAAACCAAGAGCUCCCAGCCGUCAUAUUCAAAAUUGUGGGCCGAUUUCGGUUCGAAUCAAGCAUUCACAUGUAACAUAAAGUUGGCAUAAUAAUAAAAGGAUUUGGAGAAAAAUAUUAUUCUUCAAAGUUUGGAAAAGAUUGGUUGAUAGAAAGUGUAUGUUACAAAAAUACAAGUGUUCCUAUCAAAUAUAUUCUUUCCAAUGCCCAUCACUCCAAGAU
Molecule: long non-coding RNA, 1061 nt
Organism: Cynara cardunculus var. scolymus (artichoke)
Lineage: Eukaryota; Viridiplantae; Streptophyta; Magnoliopsida; Asterales; Asteraceae
Exons: 5
Source: RefSeq, a predicted model, not a curated record